GCGCCCCUAUAUAUAUAUAUAUAUAAUAUUCCAGUAUUUCUAUAUUGAGGUGGGGAAAUUUUCAACCAUUGGCAAACUCCGAUUAAGCUCCGUAUUUUGCAGUUCCAUAUGACAUCUUAAAUUGUUUCUGGCACGAUGCCCAAAAGCUGCGGAUCGGGCAAACAAAAGAUGAACAUAUGAGAGUUAGCACUUGCUUCGAGGCAUUUCUUAUUUAUUGUACACGUAUGUGUGUCUAGUGCAUAUGCAUGCCGCACGAAGACCUUUUUCAUAGGAUCGCCGGCGAACUUCAACGUCCAGUUGACAGGAGGUAAUGAUGCGUGCAAAAUCGUCCUGGCCGAUGAGACAUAUCGUGACGGCGCGGAUCCCUCAUGUUAACCCAGCUCACGCUCAUUGGGACGAAAUAGUAGAGGGCAAUGAUUACAUGUUAGCGGAGCGUUGUCCCCGAAAGUGAUAUAUAUCUCUUCGGAAACAGGAUAAACCAUUGCGACUUUUUCAGCUUCUCUCGGGCUAGGGCAGUGUGUGCAAAUAACUUAGCUUUCUCUAGCGAGAAUUGGCUUAUAAAAGUCACUACCAGCUGGAGAAAUAGAAAGACAUACGUGUAUAUUAACCCCUAUUAAUACAAAGUCA
RNAcentral lists this small RNA (627 nucleotides) under Histoplasma capsulatum var. duboisii H88. Its description in RNAcentral is "Histoplasma capsulatum H88 hypothetical RNA". The record is from RNAcentral. Lineage: Eukaryota; Fungi; Ascomycota; Eurotiomycetes; Onygenales; Ajellomycetaceae.